RNAcentral lists this long non-coding RNA (372 nucleotides) under Salvia miltiorrhiza (redroot sage). Its description in RNAcentral is "long non-coding RNA (SMIL_LNC003562)". The record is from RNAcentral. Lineage: Eukaryota; Viridiplantae; Streptophyta; Magnoliopsida; Lamiales; Lamiaceae.
UGGAGGCGACGCUAGGGUUUAGGAAAUGGUGGUGGAGGGAUGAAGAAGAGGGUAGAGAGGGUAGGAGAAGGCGGCGGGUGGACGCGGAGUCACCGCGCCGUCGCCGUGGAGGAGGAGGAGAGACGGAGUCGCCGAGGAGAGGAGGAGAGGCGGCGAGUGAAAGUAAUCGGGAGAGAGAGAGAGAGUUAAGAGUGAGAGUGUUUUUUUUAUUUUUUCCAAAAUAGAAAACGUGCCAUCAAUAGCGGGACAACCCAAAAAGGAAAACGUGUCAUUAUUAACGGGACGGGGGGAGUAAUUUUUAUUUUCAAUCAAUGUAGGUUAAUUUUUUAAUUUAAUAAAAUUUGAGUUAUUAAAUUCAAUGUAAUAUUUAAU